This 30-nucleotide non-coding RNA is filed under the name Homo sapiens (human). The record is from RNAcentral. Lineage: Eukaryota; Metazoa; Chordata; Mammalia; Primates; Hominidae.
UGCAGAGUGAUAGAUUCUGUCAGCACCUGC